CUUGCACCUGAUGGCGAGUGGCGAACGGGUGAGUAAUGCAUCGGGAACGUGCCCAAUCGUGGGGAUAACGCAGCGGAAAGCUGUGCUAAUACCGCAUACCGAUCUACGGAUGAAAGCGGGGGAACCUUCGGGCCUUCGCGCGAUUGGAAGCGGCCGAUGUUAGAUUAGGUAGUUGGUGGGGUAAAAGGCUCACCAAGCCGACGAUCUAUAGCUGGUCUGAGAGACGACCAGCCACACUGGAACUGAGACACGGUCCAGACUCC
RNAcentral lists this ribosomal RNA (263 nucleotides) under unidentified marine bacterioplankton. RNAcentral's name for it is "partial 16S ribosomal RNA". It matches the Rfam family "Bacterial small subunit ribosomal RNA", at positions 79 to 339 of the family's 1533-position model. The record is from RNAcentral.